CCCGCUGAACUUAAGCAUAUCAAUAAGCGGAGGUAAAGAAACUAACAAGGAUUCCCCUAGUAACUGCGAGUGAAGCGGGAAAAGCUCAAAUUUAAAAUCUGGUGGCCUUUGGCCAUCCGAGUUGUAAUUUAGAGAAGCGUCUUCCGCGCUGGACCGUGCACAAGUCUCCUGGAAUGGAGCGUCGUAGAGGGUGAGAAUCCCGUCUUUGGCACGGACGCCCAGUGCUUCUGUGAUGCGCUCUCGAAGAGUCGAGUUGUUUGGGAAUGCAGCUCANAAUGGGUGGUGAACUCCAUCUAAAGCUAAAUAUUGGCGAGAGACCGAUAGCGAACAAGUACCGUGAGGGAAAGAUGAAAAGCACUUUGGAAAGAGAGUGAAACAGUACGUGAAAUUGUUGAAAGGGAAACGCUUGAAGUCAGUCGCGUCGUCCGAGACUCAGCCUCGCCUCGGCUUGGUGUACUUCUCGGACGACGGGUCAGCAUCAAUUUUGCCCCUUGGAUAAUGGCGAGGGAAAUGUGACACCUUUGCGGGUGUGUUAUAGUCUCUAGUCGCAUGCAAGGGUCGGGAUUGAGGAACUCAGCACGCGCCUUCGGGCGUCGGGGUUCGCCCACGAUACGUGCUUAGGAUGUUGGCGUAAUGGCUUUAAACGACCCGUCUUGAAACACGG
RNAcentral lists this ribosomal RNA (664 nucleotides) under uncultured fungus. Its description in RNAcentral is "eukaryotic LSU rRNA". It matches the Rfam family "Eukaryotic large subunit ribosomal RNA", at positions 24 to 664 of the family's 3401-position model. The record is from RNAcentral. Lineage: Eukaryota; Fungi.